AUGAUGACAAAGAUGGGCUUCAACAAAAACUGGGUCAAUCUGAUUAUGAAGUGCGUCACCACUGUUAAGUACCAAAUUAAGGUGAAUAGGGGAGUCACGGAUGUAAUUAUCCCACAAAGAGGACUGCGUCAGGGAGACCCUCUUUCCCCAUAUCUAUUUCUGAUAUGCGCAGAAGGUUUCUUCGCCCUACUUAACGAAGCUGAAGCUAAUGGAAGACUAAAGGGGAUACAAAUAUGUAGACGAGCCCCAAGUGUGAGUCACCUUCUGUUCGCUGAUGAUUCACUUCUGUUGAUGGAGGCAAAUGCAAAUGCAGCGCGGGAAGUGAAUAAUAUCCUAAGCACUUAUGAAGCAUGUUCUGGGCAAAUGAUCAAUAAAGAGAAGUCAGCCAUUCUAUUCAGCAAAAACACUGUUGGAAGCAAGAGGAAUGAGAUGAAGAGAAUUCUGGGGAUAAAUGUUGAAGGGUUUAGAGGGAAGUACUUAGGCCUGCCGGUAUAUAUUGGGAAGAACAAAGCAAGGGCUUUCAAUUACAUAAAAGAGAAAGUAUGGAAAAUAAUACAUGGAUGGAAAGAAAAGCUCUUAUCAAAGGCUGGCAAGGAAGUAUUGAUCAAAGUUGUAGCACAAGCUAUACCAGUAUACGCAAUGGCCUGUUUUGACUUGACAAAAUCCUUUUGUGAAGAGUUAAGUGCAAUAAUCGGGAGGUAUUGGUGGAGUCAGAUGGAUAAAACAAAUAAGAUACAUUGGGUGAGUUGGGACGUAAUAUCAAAACCAAAGGCAGAAGGUGGAUUAGGAUUCAGGAACCUGCACUACUUUAACUUGGCCAUGUUGGCCAGGCAAGCAUGGCGGAUAUUGCAAAAUCCUUUCUCAUUAUGCACACAAGUUCUUGCUGCUAAAUACUUUCCAGAUGGUUCAAUACUAGAAGCGAAGCCAAUGAAGGGUAUUUCGUAUUCAUGGUGA
RNAcentral lists this ribosomal RNA (954 nucleotides) under Triticum aestivum (bread wheat). RNAcentral describes it as "partial small subunit ribosomal RNA". Lineage: Eukaryota; Viridiplantae; Streptophyta; Magnoliopsida; Poales; Poaceae. The record is from RNAcentral.